UGGGGAAUUUUGGACAAUGGGCGAAAGCCUGAUCCAGCAAUGCCGCGUGUGUGAAGAAGGCCUUCGGGUUGUAAAGCACUUUUGUCCGGAAAGAAAUCCUUGGCUCUAAUACAGUCGGGGGAUGACGGUACCGGAAGAAUAAGCACCGGCUAACUACGUGCCAGCAGCCGCGGUAAUACGUAGGGUGCAAGCGUUAAUCGGAAUUACUGGGCGUAAAGCGUGCGCAGGCGGUUUGCUAAGACCGAUGUGAAAUCCCCGGGCUCAACCUGGGAACUGCAUUGGUGACUGGCAGGCUAGAGUAUGGCAGAGGGGGGUAGAAUUCCACGUGUAGCAGUGAAAUGCGUAGAGAUGUGGAGGAAUACCGAUGGCGAAGGCAGCCCCCUGGGCCAAUACUGACGCUCAUGCACGAAAAGCGUGGGGAGCAAAACAGGAUUAGAUACCCUGGUAGUCCACGCCCUAAAACGAUGUCAACUAGUUGUUGGGGAUUCAUUUCCUUAGUAACGUAGCUAACGCGUGAAGUUGACCGCCUGGGGGAGUACGGUCGCAAAGAUUAAAAACUUAAA
This 563-nucleotide ribosomal RNA is filed under the name uncultured bacterium. RNAcentral describes it as "partial 16S ribosomal RNA". It matches the Rfam family "Bacterial small subunit ribosomal RNA", at positions 355 to 905 of the family's 1533-position model. The record is from RNAcentral.